AUUGAACGCUGGCGGCAGGCUUAACACAUGCAAGUCGAGCGAGCGGCGGACGGGUGAGUAAUGUCUGGGAAACUGCCUGAUGGAGGGGGAUAACUACUGGAAACGGUAGCUAAUACCGCAUACCAUCAGAUGUGCCCAUAUGGGAUUAGCUAGUAGGUGGGGUAAUGGUUCACCUAGGGGACGAUCCCUAGCUGGUCUGAGAGGAUGAACAGGCACCAUUGAACGGGGACACCGUCCAGACUCCUACGGGGGGGAGCAGGGGGGAAUAAUGACCAAUGGGCGCAAGCCUGAAGCAGCCAUGCCGCGUGUGUGAAGAAGGCCUUCGGGUUGUAAAGCACUUUCAGCGCGGAGGCGUUACUCGCAGAAGAAGCACCGGCUAACUCCGUGCCAGCAGCCGCGGUAAUAC
RNAcentral lists this ribosomal RNA (406 nucleotides) under uncultured bacterium. RNAcentral describes it as "partial 16S ribosomal RNA". It matches the Rfam family "Bacterial small subunit ribosomal RNA", at positions 30 to 526 of the family's 1533-position model. The record is from RNAcentral.